GAUGAACGCUGGCGGCGUGCUUAACACAUGCAAGUCGAACGAGAAGUGAAGACGGAAACCUUCGGGCGGAAGACUUUAUUUCGAGUGGCGGACGGGUGAGUAACGCGUGGGUAACCUGCCUCAUACAGGGGGAUAACAGUUGGAAACGACUGUUAAUACCGCAUAAGACCACAGCACCGCAUGGUGCGGGGGGUAAAAACUCCGGUGGUAUGAGAUGGACCCGCGUUCGAUUAGCCAGUUGGCGGGGUAACGGCCCACCAAAGCGACGAUCGAUAGCCGAUCUGAGAGGAUGACCGGCCACAUUGGGACUGAGACACGGCCCAAACUCCUACGGGAGGCAGCAGUGGGGAAUAUUGCACAAUGGGGGAAACCCUGAUGCAGCGACGCCGCGUGAGUGAAGAAGUAUUUCGGUAUGUAAAGCUCUAUCAGCAGGGAAGAAAAUGACGGACCUGAGAAGAAGCCC
This 463-nucleotide ribosomal RNA is filed under the name Lachnospiraceae bacterium oral taxon 419. RNAcentral's name for it is "bacterial SSU rRNA". It matches the Rfam family "Bacterial small subunit ribosomal RNA", at positions 28 to 493 of the family's 1533-position model. Lineage: Bacteria; Bacillati; Bacillota; Clostridia; Lachnospirales; Lachnospiraceae. The record is from RNAcentral.